AUGAGAUGAAACAAUUAUUUUGAUGGAGUUUAUAAAAUAUUAGGAUCUAUUAUAUUCUUUUUUCUUUAACUGUCAAUUUUUUGACGUAUCUCAUAUAUUAUAGUAUUACAAUGAAGUGCUCUAAUUUAUCUGUUAAAAAAGGUUUCAUCACUGUUUCCUAUAGUAAUUCUCAAUAAUGUUUUAAAUAGGAUAUAUUAAAUAGGAUAUAUUAUCUAAAGUAAACAGGCUUUUAAGCCUUCAAUUUGCCCCAAUUGACAUGAAGUGCGCAUUUCGAAAAGCCAGUGAACGCAGCGUCAUACGGGCACCCCCACCUCACUCCCCCGGAAACCCCCGGAUGAACCCGCAGGAAAACGCGCGGCUGAAGAACUCUUGGACAGCUGGAAGGCCGCAGGAUCACGGUGAAGGCCUCUUCUGUAUAGAGGACGGGGGCGGAAACGUCACGUGGUCUCCGCAGAGAAUCCUGGAGAUGGGAGAUGUGGAGCAGGUAAGUUUGUGGCAGCACCAGAGUCCUCCAACAAGUUUUCUGGCAAAGUAAAUGAGGAAGGAUCGCAGUCUGCCAUCGUGGAGUUUUGCUGAAAGGCGUGAACACGUUCCAUCCAUGCAUCCAUCUUCUUCCAUUCAUCAGGAACCAGGUUGUGAGGGCAGCAGUCUAAGCAAAGAUGCCCACACUUCCCUCUCCUCCAGCUCCUCUUGGGGGACCCCGGGGCCAGCUGAGAGACGUAGUCUCCCCAGCGUGUCCUGGGUCUCCCUUAGGGCCUCUGCCCUUAUUCCUGUUGGAGUUUUUUUCUAACCCCUUAUGUUUCAAAAGUUUGCAAACAUACAUUUUGGUUGAAAAUGAUGAGGAUCCGAGGAUGAAAUCAAGAAGGGACAACAUCAGGGAAAGGGACUGAACCGACUGAACAGCUUCCUCUCUUCAGCAGACACAUGUUCCCAGUACAUAUGUGUCAAAAACUGACAUCCUCGCCGUUCAGGCCGGUGGCUGGAACAAGCGGAAGUCAGAAAAGCUGGAGCAGACGUGACCAGAAUGAUACCUCCAGGACCAAUCAAAAUGACCCAGAGAAAAACACUGAAGGGCUUUGUCUGAGCAUCAGGAAAACAAGAAUCAGCUGUCAUCAACAUAUGGUUAUGGUGCCAUGGUGAAGAACUAAAGGCUCUAUGAUGUCAUGCUGCUGACCAGACUGUGGUUGGUGAAGUCCAGCAGCACUGCAGGUCCUUGAAGUGUGGUUGAAGAGCUCUCCUCCCAGCUUUUGGAAGGCAGCACAGAGUCAUUGAUGGAGAGAGGACGUGAAGGACUAAUUGUCUGCUGAGGAGGAGACUUUCUGCAGUUCAAGCCCCAGCUCCACCCCUAAAAAAAGGCUUAUAUAAAGGAAAACUUCAUUUCAACUUUGUACCAAUAAUGACUUUUAAUUGAAAUGAGAGAUUUUUUUUCUGAACUGCACCAAUGAAGGGUUUUUCAACCUAAAUUUCAACAAUUACAUUAUUUUUUACCUCCGUUUAAGUUUCUACAACACUAGCUAAACAUUUCAGUGCUCACACCUGUGCUGAAGACACUUCUCAUUUUAACUCAAACGUUUGGCCUUUGAUUUGUAUGUCCAACACCUUAGAAUGAAACACUGACCUAUUAAACUCAUAUAAUGUGCUAUGCAUCUCCAAAUCCUUUGUCAGGGUACAGACUACAUUUUAAUUGUAGCAAGACUGAAGUAAAAUGUAACAAAAUGACAAUGAGUUAUCUUAAAUUAGGGGUAAAUGACAUGAGAAAUUAAGAAUAUUAGAAGUGUGGAGUGAUAUGUGUAUCAGUAUGUUAGCUACAGGAAGGGUGCUGUCCUUGACACGUCCCUUUACUCAGACAGGAUGACAGGUAGGGAAGGGGGUAGCCGAUGAUCUGCUCCAGUAUCUUCAGCACAGAAGCUUCUGCUGCUCUUCUUCAGUUUGAUCUGAGAGCCAGACCAUGAUGCAGUUGGACUGGCUGAGCGGUAGGUUGCCAGCAGCUUCAGACGUGCUGCUGUGCCUUGUUGAUAACGUCCUGGAUGUUAGGAAACCAAGUUAGAUCAGCUGAGAUGGGGAUGCCCAGGAAAGGGAAGCUGUGAACCCUCCUCUAUGCCUACUAAAGUCCAAGAUGACUUUUAUGGUCUUUUAUUUGCCGAUCAGCCUUACACUAUACAGUUUCCGCACUUGUCUACAAAGUUCACCUCCGUGACCUUUAAUAAGUCUUUGUUAUUGGCAAGUUAAUUACUUAUAUCCAAGACAUGGAGAUGUGGGUCCAGUAUGAGCAGGAUUUGGGAAAUGGCAGUUGCCAAGAACUCACAUGAAGUUUCAAGGUUUUUCCCUUUAUUUGGAGGAAAAAAAGUUUUUGUCCUUUGUUUGUUGUGCAGAAUUGCAAACCUAGAAAGAAAUCAAGUUGAAAGAAUUGAUAUAAAUGUAUUUGCCCUUCUUUUGACCCUUCUACAUCAUGAAUAUUUGGUGGCUGUUGCUUGGCGACUGUGAGAUCUCUCCAUAGGAUUGACAUGGGCUGGGCCUCUCCAUGACCUUGAUAUGAUUGUUCUUCAGCCAUUCCUUGGUUGCCUUGGCUGUAGGUUCUAGGUCACUAACCUGUUGGAAGACCCAUCCAUGACUGAUUUGAAGGGUCCUGGCUUAAGGAGGGUAGGAAGUUCUCACUCAGGAUUUUCCAUUAAUGGCUCCAUCAACGUGGUGACGUAGCUCUGUGCAGAAAAAUAGCCACAAAGCAUAAUGCUUCCACCUCCAUGUUUGACAGUGGGGAAGCUGUUCUUGGGGUCAUAGGUAGCAAUUCUCUUCCUCCAAACCCAAUGGUUGAGUUGAUGCCAAAGAGCUCAGUUUUGAGCCAAACAUUCCAUUAUGCAGAAUAAACUGAUAAAGCAAACCCUAUUUUUCAGUGUGUGAUUUUCAUUUUUUCAUAAAUCUUAGGACAAUUUAGAUGAUAAAAGUAAUAAAUAUAUGAAAACAGUAUAAUACAGUAAAUAUGUAAAUAUUUGAUGUGAUGAACAAUGCUUAUCUGAUUUAGACCCAACAUGAAAUAUUUUUUGACACACACACAUCAAGUUGUGUUAUUUAAUGCUCGUAAUUUAGACACAAAUGAUAGAAAUGUUAGGUUUAUAUGCCAAAGAUAUGCCAUGUGAAAAUUUUAGUGCAAAUACGCAUGCGUGCGCGCCGUGCACAUAAAGCCACCCCACCCCCACGUAUCCGCGCGCCGGUCGGUGGGUGCUGGGCGUCAAUAAAGGUAAUCUGGUUGUCGCGCGUUCUGCAUCUCUGCACGAGCUAAAGAAGUCUCAAAGGUAAGAAAUGUGAACACAAGAGGCAGUAAUGAAAAUACUUUAUGAUCAUCUGAAUGUAUUUUCAUCUGACAAAUGAAUGCAGCUGUUAUCACUGUGACGGAAGAGCGGUGCUGAAAAAUACGGCCUCCAUCGAGAGACUGAACGUAACACGACUGCAGCUGACUCUGCCACGAGGCUCGACAACGUCUUCCAUCAACUGUGAUCGCUGUGGCCGCCAAAACAUCCAAAUGUAAGGCGGGCUACAAAGAUUUCAGGCCAAAAGAGAACGCCUCACAUGUGAUGAAGUGUCUGUAUUGUUGCCCUAAGUUCCCUGAUCAAGCACAAACGUGUUUUGCCUGGAUGAAGGCCUUGUAUCAGGUUGGAAAAACCAGCAGCCCUCCAGUGCUUCAGCCGUCCAACCAUCAACCGUUUCAGACAUCCAUCCUCCCACCACUUCAACCACCAAUCUCUCCACCACUUCAGCCCCACAGCCGUCCACCAGUGUCCCAACUCCUGACAUUUUACUAUCCUGGUACAAUCUUAUUUUUCUGCACAGUUAGCAAAAAUGAUAUGUUUUUUAGAUAUUCCUGUGUUUUUUUAUCCUCAACAAAUGUUUCUCCAAAGAAAUGUGAAAAUACAGAAUUAUUCAUUUGGUGGUUAUUUUUACACUUUUCCUCAAAUCUUUAAUAAGAAAGAAAUAAUUCAGUUCAAGUUUACUUUAGCUUUUCUUUUUAAUGGGCAUUACAGUUGAUAUAAAACAUAUAACAUGCAAUUAAAAUGCUUUGUAGUUAAAAACAUUUUACACACUAUUAAAAGAUUCUAUAAAAUAUUAUUUAAAAA
This is a non-coding RNA of Oryzias latipes (Japanese medaka), 4109 nucleotides long. Lineage: Eukaryota; Metazoa; Chordata; Actinopteri; Beloniformes; Adrianichthyidae. The record is from RefSeq and is a predicted model, not a curated record.